This 20-nucleotide small nuclear RNA is filed under the name Arabidopsis thaliana (thale cress). Its description in RNAcentral is "snRNA_18524". Lineage: Eukaryota; Viridiplantae; Streptophyta; Magnoliopsida; Brassicales; Brassicaceae. The record is from RNAcentral.
AAAUGGAUAAAAUCCGAUAC